RNAcentral lists this non-coding RNA (84 nucleotides) under marine eukaryotic metagenome. Its description in RNAcentral is "Glycine riboswitch". It matches the Rfam family "Glycine riboswitch aptamer", at positions 8 to 87 of the family's 94-position model. Rfam says of the family: This family represents the bacterial glycine riboswitch. Glycine riboswitches usually consist of two metabolite-binding aptamers domains with similar structures in tandem. The aptamers cooperatively bind glycine to regulate the expression of downstream genes. The record is from RNAcentral.
UGGCGGGAGAGCUCGCCCGGGAAGCCGGGCGGCGCCGUAGGAGCAAGUCCCUCCCCGGGAAUCUCUCAGGCACCCGCACCGCCA